CCUACGGGGGGCUGCAGUAAGGAAUAUUGGACAAUGGGCGGAAGCCUGAUCCAGCCAUGCCGCGUGAAGGAAGAAGGCGCUCAGCGUUGUAAACUUCUUUUAAAUGGGAACAAUAACUCCGACGCGCUCGGGGCUUGAGGGUACCAUUAGAAUAAGCACCGGCUAACUCCGUGCCAGCAGCCGCGGUAAUACGGAGGGUGCAAGCGUUAUCCGGAAUCACUGGGUUUAAAGGGUGCGUAGGCUGUUUGAUAAGUCAGUUGUGAAAUACCCCGGCUUAACCGGCGGUCGUGCGAUUGAUACUGUCAGACUUGAAUCAGGUUGAGGUAGGCGGAAUGUGGCAUGUAGCGGUGAAAUGCAUAGAUAUGCCAUAGAACACCGAUUGCGAAGGCAGCUUGCUGGACCUUGAUUGACGCUGAGGCACGAAAGCGUGGGGAGCAAACAGGAUUAGAUACCCCAGUAGUC
RNAcentral lists this ribosomal RNA (462 nucleotides) under uncultured Saprospiraceae bacterium. RNAcentral describes it as "bacterial SSU rRNA". It matches the Rfam family "Bacterial small subunit ribosomal RNA", at positions 338 to 795 of the family's 1533-position model. Lineage: Bacteria; Pseudomonadati; Bacteroidota; Saprospiria; Saprospirales; Saprospiraceae. The record is from RNAcentral.